This 75-nucleotide transfer RNA is filed under the name Schistocerca americana (American grasshopper). RNAcentral's name for it is "tRNA-Thr". It matches the Rfam family "tRNA". From Rfam's summary of the family: Transfer RNA (tRNA) molecules are approximately 80 nucleotides in length. Their secondary structure includes four short double-helical elements and three loops (D, anti-codon, and T loops). The record is from RNAcentral. RNAcentral also lists the same sequence under 4 other names. Lineage: Eukaryota; Metazoa; Arthropoda; Insecta; Orthoptera; Acrididae.
GCCCUCGGUGGCUCAGAUGGAUAGAGCGUCUGCCAUGUAAGCAGGAGAUCUCGGGUUCGAGUCCCGGUCGGGGCA